AUUGAACGCUGGCGGCAGGCCUAACACAUGCAAGUCGAACGGUAACAGGAAGCAGCUUGCUUCUUUGCUGACGAGUGGCGGAAGGGUGAGGAAUGUCUGGGAAACUGCCUGAUGGAGGGGGAUAACUACUGGAAACGGUAGCUAAUACCGCAUAACGUCGCAAGACCAAAAAGGGGGACCUUCGGGCCUCUUGCCAUCGGAUGUGCCCAGAGGGGAUUAGUUAGUAGGUGGGGUAACGGCUCACCUAGGCGACGAUCCCUAGCUGGUCUGAGAGGAUGACCAGCCACACUGGAACUGAGACACGGCCCAGACUCCUACGGGAGGCAGCAGUGGGGAAUAUUGCACAAUGGGCGAAAGCCUGAUGCAGCCAUGCCGCGUGUAUGAAGAAGGCCUUCGGGUUGUAAAGUACUUUCAGCGGGGAGGAAGGGAGUAAAGUUAAUACCUGUGCUCAUUGACGUUACCCGCAGAAGAAGCACCGGCUAACUCCGUG
This 490-nucleotide ribosomal RNA is filed under the name uncultured bacterium. RNAcentral's name for it is "partial 16S ribosomal RNA". It matches the Rfam family "Bacterial small subunit ribosomal RNA", at positions 30 to 507 of the family's 1533-position model. The record is from RNAcentral.